AGUGGGGAAUAUUGCGGCAAUGGAGGAAACUCUGACCCAGCGACGCCGCGUGCGGGAUGAAGGCCUUCGGGUUGUAAACCGCUUUCAGUAGGGAAGAAGCGAAAGUGACGGUACCUACAAAAGAAGCACCGGCUAACUAUGUGCCAGCAGCCGCGGUAAUACAUAGGGUGCAAGCGUUGUCCGGAAUUAUUGGGCGUAAAGAGCUCGUAGGUCGUUUGUUACGUCGGAUGUGAAAACCUGAGGCUCAACCUCAGGCCUGCAUUCGAUACGGGCAAACUAGAGUUUGGUAGGGGAGACUGGAAUUCCUGGUGUAGCGGUGGAAUGCGCAGAUAUCAGGAGGAACACCAAUGGCGAAGGCAGGUCUCUGGGCCAAUACUGACACUCAGGAGCGAAAGUCUGGGGAGCGAAC
Molecule: ribosomal RNA, 409 nt
Filed under: actinobacterium SCGC AAA023-I13
Lineage: Bacteria; Bacillati; Actinomycetota; Actinomycetes
Description: bacterial SSU rRNA
Rfam family: Bacterial small subunit ribosomal RNA
Source: RNAcentral